Molecule: ribosomal RNA, 498 nt
Filed under: uncultured bacterium
Lineage: Bacteria
Description: partial 16S ribosomal RNA
Rfam family: Bacterial small subunit ribosomal RNA
Source: RNAcentral
AUUGAACGCUGGCGGCAUGCCUUACACAUGCAAGUCGAACGGUAACAGGUCUUCGGAUGCUGACGAGUGGCGAACGGGUGAGUAAUACAUCGGAACGUGCCUAGUAGUGGGGGAUAACUACUCGAAAGAGUGGCUAAUACCGCAUGAGAUCUACGGAUGAAAGCAGGGGAUCGCAAGACCUUGUGCUACUAGAGCGGCCGAUGGCAGAUUAGGUAGUUGGUGGGGUAAAAGCUUACCAAGCCGACGAUCUGUAGCUGGUCUGAGAGGACGAUCAGCAACACUGGGACUGAGACACGGCCCAGACUCCGACGGGAGGCAGCAGUGGGGAAUUUUGGACAAUGGGCGAAAGCCUGAUCCAGCAAUGCCGCGUGCAGGAUGAAGGCCUUCGGGUUGUAAACUGCUUUUGUACGGAACGAAAAGCCCCGGGUUAAUACCCUGGGGUCAUGACGGUACCGUAAGAAUAAGCACCGGCUAACUACGUGCCAGCCGCCGCGGUAA